UUAGGAAUUUUGUGCAAUGGGGGAAACCCUGACACAGCCACGCCGCGUGCGGGAUGAAGGCCUUCGGGUCGUAAACCGCUUUUCUCAAGGAAGACACCCGACGGUACUUGAGGAAUAAGCAACGGCUAACUACGUGCCAGCAGCCGCGGUAAUACGUAGGUUGCGAGCGUUGUCCGGAUUUACUGGGUGUAAAGCGCGCGCAGGCGGUCUCGAAAGUCCACGGUGAAAGCUCCCGGCCCAACUGGGAGAGGCCCGCGGAAACUUCGGGACUUGAAGAUGGCAGAGGCAGAUGGAAUUUCCGGUGUAGCGGUAAAAUGCGUAGAUACCGGAAGGAACACCAGUGGCGAAGGCGAUCUGCUGGGCCAUCCUUGACGCUCAGGCGCGAAAGCUAGGGUAGCGACCGGG
RNAcentral lists this ribosomal RNA (405 nucleotides) under uncultured bacterium. RNAcentral describes it as "bacterial SSU rRNA". It matches the Rfam family "Bacterial small subunit ribosomal RNA", at positions 355 to 776 of the family's 1533-position model. The record is from RNAcentral.